RNAcentral lists this ribosomal RNA (459 nucleotides) under uncultured bacterium. RNAcentral describes it as "partial 16S ribosomal RNA". It matches the Rfam family "Bacterial small subunit ribosomal RNA", at positions 338 to 795 of the family's 1533-position model. The record is from RNAcentral.
CCUACGGGUGGCAGCAGUGAGGAAUAUUGGUCAAUGGGCGCGAGCCUGAACCAGCCAAGUCGCGUGAGGGAAGACGGUCCUAUGGAUUGUAAACCUCUUUUGUCGGGGAGCAAACGACGCCACGCGUGGCGUUCCGAGAGUACCCGACGACAAAGCAUCGGCUAACUCCGUGCCAGCAGCCGCGGUAAUACGGAGGAUGCGAGCGUUAUCCGGAUUUAUUGGGUUUAAAGGGUGCGCAGGCGGAAGAUCAAGUCAGCGGUAAAAUUGAGAGGCUCAACCUCUUCGAGCCGUUGAAACUGGUUGUCUUGAGUGAGCGAGAGGUAUGCGGAAUGCGUGGUGUAGCGGUGAAAUGCAUAGAGAUCACGCAGAACUCCGAUUGCGAAGGCAGCAUACCGGCGCUCAACUGACGCUCAUGCACGAAAGUGUGGGUAUCGAACAGGAUUAGAUACCCCUGUAGUC